CUGACGACUCGUCUGCGAUUGUUCGCCUGAAUUAAACAACUUUUGGUUCCGAGUUGAUAAAGAUUUUAGUUGUUUGAUUUUUUUUACGCAAAAAUCCGUUUUUUUUUUUUAGGGCGUUGCGUCUCAGGUCUCAGGUGACGCCGAUGACGCUCUGUUUUUCACUCCACCUUCAGGCGUCGUGACUCCAACCGUUCCUGCUCUGAACGUUUCCAUCCCGAUUAUUGUUCGCUGCUGCCGUCGAGAUGCUUCACAAAGUUCCGUCUCCGCUUCGCCUGUGAUUAUUCCGAGCGGGAAAAAAAGUGGCUGAAUUCAACUCCAGACAGACGUAGAAAGUAAACGUGAGUAUAAAUAAAUCAACUAUAUCGAGGACACUUGCAUUCCCUGUUUUCAGGUGCAGUCGCCGCCCGUUUAUGGCUAAGAUGCAUUUCAUCGCUAAA
This is a long non-coding RNA of Cynoglossus semilaevis (tongue sole), 437 nucleotides long. RefSeq lists it as uncharacterized. The record is from RefSeq and is a predicted model, not a curated record. The transcript is spliced from 2 exons. Lineage: Eukaryota; Metazoa; Chordata; Actinopteri; Pleuronectiformes; Cynoglossidae.